CCUACGGGAGGCAGCAGUGGGGAAUAUUGCACAAUGGGGGAAACCCUGAUGCAGCGACGCCGCGUGAGUGAAGAAGUAAUUCGUUAUGUACAGCUCUUUUAACAGGGAAGAAAGAGAAAUUUGACGGUACCUGACGAAUAAGAUCCGGCUAACUACGUGCCAGCAGCCGCGGUAAUACGUAGGGAGCGAGCGUUAUCCGGAUUUCGUGGGCGUAAAGGGUGCGUAGAUGGCAUAGUAAGUCUUUUGUAAAAAUGCUGGGCUAAACCCAGUAGGGCAAAAGCUACUGCAAAGCUAGAGUAUGACAGAGGCAAGUGGAACUACAUGUGUAGCGGUAAAAUGCGUAAAUAUAUGUAAGAACACCAGUGGCGAAGGCGGCUUGCUGGCUCGAUACUGACAUUGAGGCACGAAAGCGUGGGGAGCAAACAGGAUUAGAUACCCCAGUAGUC
Molecule: ribosomal RNA, 446 nt
Filed under: uncultured bacterium
Lineage: Bacteria
Description: partial 16S ribosomal RNA
Rfam family: Bacterial small subunit ribosomal RNA
Source: RNAcentral